GAGAGGUUAAGAAGGCCUGCUAACUCUUCAAUCUGGAAUAACAACCAGCCCUCUCU
RNAcentral lists this transfer RNA (56 nucleotides) under Vipera berus (adder). Its description in RNAcentral is "tRNA-Ser". RNAcentral also lists the same sequence under 3 other names. The record is from RNAcentral. Lineage: Eukaryota; Metazoa; Chordata; Lepidosauria; Squamata; Viperidae.